AUUGAACGCUGGCGGCAGGCUUAACACAUGCAAGUCGAGCGGGGUGAUGGUGCUUGCACUAUCACUUAGCGGCGGACGGGUGAGUAAUGCUUAGGAAUCUGCCUAUUAGUGGGGACAACAUCUCGAAAGGGAUGCUAAUACCGCAUACGUCCUACGGGAGAAAGCAGGGGAUCACUUGUGACCUUGCGCUAAUAGCUGAGCCUAAGUCGGAUUAGCUAGUUGGUGGGGUAAAGGCCUACCAAGGCGACGAUCUGUAGCGGGUCUGAGAGGAUGAUCCGCCACACUGGGACUGAGACACGGCCCAGACUCCUACGGGAGGCAGCAGUGGGGAAUAUUGGACAAUGGGGGGAACCCUGAUCCAGCCAUGCCGCGUGUGUGAAGAAGGCCUUAUGGUUGUAAAGCACCUUAAGCGAGGAGGAGGCUCUUUUGGUUAAUACCCAAGAUGAGUGGACGUUACUCGCAGAAUAAGCACCGGCUAACUCUGUGCCAGCCGCCGCCGUAA
RNAcentral lists this ribosomal RNA (502 nucleotides) under uncultured bacterium. Its description in RNAcentral is "partial 16S ribosomal RNA". It matches the Rfam family "Bacterial small subunit ribosomal RNA", at positions 30 to 523 of the family's 1533-position model. The record is from RNAcentral.